GUGGGGAAUAUUGGGCAAUGGGCGAAAGCCUGACCCAGCAACGCCGCGUGAGGGAAGAAGGCCUUCGGGUUGUAAACCUCUGUCCUUGGUGACGAAAAAAAUGACGGUAGCCAAGGAGGAAGCCCCGGCUAACUACGUGCCAGCAGCCGCGGUAAUACGUAGGGGGCGAGCGUUGUCCGGAAUUACUGGGCGUAAAGGGUGCGUAGGUGGCCUUUUAAGUUGGAUGUGAAAUACCCGGGCUUAACUUGGGGGGUGCAUCUAAUACUGGAGGGCUAGAGUGCAGGAGAGGGAAGCGGAAUUCCUAGUGUAGCGGUGAAAUGCGUAGAUAUUAGGAGGAACACCAGUGGCGAAGGCGGCUUUCUGGACUGUAACUGACACUGAGGCACGAAAGCGUGGGGAACAAACAGGAUUAGAAACCCUGGUAGUCC
This 428-nucleotide ribosomal RNA is filed under the name uncultured bacterium. Its description in RNAcentral is "partial 16S ribosomal RNA". It matches the Rfam family "Bacterial small subunit ribosomal RNA", at positions 354 to 796 of the family's 1533-position model. The record is from RNAcentral.